This is a long non-coding RNA of Phascolarctos cinereus (koala), 401 nucleotides long. RefSeq lists it as uncharacterized. The record is from RefSeq and is a predicted model, not a curated record. NCBI's taxonomy places the organism in Eukaryota, Metazoa, Chordata, Mammalia, Diprotodontia, Phascolarctidae.
GCCUUCUCCUCUCCCUCCGCCCUUCCCCCUCUGCUCUGAGAGACUAGCCCCGCCCUACAGUGACGUCACUGUACCCACCCUCUCUCACCAUCUUGGAAGUCUUUGUCUCUGGUGGAGGCUAUGAGUGGGGUGAGCAGCUGGAGGUCCGAGUGCCCCCCCACUUUCCUUCUCCACACCCCUCCCCUCCGUUACCCCCAUCUUCCAGACUGACAGAUCCGGAGGGUCCUGCAAGUGUCGAAGUGUCUGUGAGCGAGGGCCUGGUGAAUGGGGAGUUUCCACGUACUUUGCUGUGGAACAGAAAGAGGGGACUGUUCCUGAACCUGCGGAUCUCUGUGAUUUACAGCCUGAAAGAAAAGAGUUGUUUUAAUGUGCACUUCUCUAAUUACAAGGAAUUUGGAGCA